This 301-nucleotide ribosomal RNA is filed under the name uncultured bacterium. RNAcentral describes it as "partial 16S ribosomal RNA". It matches the Rfam family "Bacterial small subunit ribosomal RNA", at positions 509 to 807 of the family's 1533-position model. The record is from RNAcentral.
CAGCCGCCACGGUAAUACAGAGGGUGCGAGCGUUAAUCGGAUUUACUGGGCGUAAAGCGUGCGUAGGCGGCUUCUUAAGUCGGAUGUGAAAUCCCUGAGCUUAACUUAGGAAUUGCAUUCGAUACUGGGAAGCUAGAGUAUGGGAGAGGAUGGUAGAAUUCCAGGUGUAGCGGUGAAAUGCGUAGAGAUCUGGAGGAAUACCGAUGGCGAAGGCAGCCAUCUGGCCUAAUACUGACGCUGAGGUACAAAAGCAUGGGGAGCAGACAGGAUUAGAUACCCGAGUAGUCCCUGUCUCUUAUAC